This 433-nucleotide ribosomal RNA is filed under the name uncultured bacterium. RNAcentral describes it as "partial 16S ribosomal RNA". It matches the Rfam family "Bacterial small subunit ribosomal RNA", at positions 29 to 507 of the family's 1533-position model. The record is from RNAcentral.
AAUGAACGCUGGCGGCAUGCCUAACACAUGCAAGUCGAACGAAGGCUUCGGCCUUAGUGGCGCACGGGUGCGUAACGCGUGGGAAUCUGCCCUUGGGUUCGGAAUAACAGUUAGAAAUGACUGCUAAUACCGGAUGAUGUCGUAAGACCAAAGAUUUAUCGCCCAAGGAUGAGCCCGCGUAGGAUUAGCUAGUUGGUGGGGUAAAGGCCUACCAAGGCGACGAUCCUUAGCUGGUCUGAGAGGAUGAUCAGCCACACUGGGACUGAGACACGGCCCAGACUCCCACGGGAGGCAGCAGUGGGGAAUAUUGGACAAUGGGCGAAAGCCUGAUCCAGCAAUGCCGCGUGAGUGAUGAAGGCCUUAGGGUUGUAAAGCUCUUUUACCCGGGAUGAUAAUGACAGUACCGGGAGAAUAAGCUCCGGCUAACUUCGUG